UCUUUGCUCCCGAAUUGAGGUUGUGAUUUUAUUAUUUGUAAAUCACAUUAAAAGGGAAUUAGGUUCAAAACCUAAGCUGUUCCCGCAACUGUAAGCUAUCAAGCUUGUUGUUAUCUACAAAACCACUGUUCCGAUGAUUCGGAAUGGGAAGGUAAACAACAAGACGCAAGCCAGGAGACCUGCCUUUUUUCUUAACUAAUA
This 201-nucleotide non-coding RNA is filed under the name Flavobacterium frigoris. The record is from RNAcentral. Lineage: Bacteria; Pseudomonadati; Bacteroidota; Flavobacteriia; Flavobacteriales; Flavobacteriaceae.